GAACCCGUGAAAGGAACUUUCCUAGAGUUA
This 30-nucleotide non-coding RNA is filed under the name Mus musculus (house mouse). Lineage: Eukaryota; Metazoa; Chordata; Mammalia; Rodentia; Muridae. The record is from RNAcentral.